This is a long non-coding RNA of Carassius gibelio (silver crucian carp), 483 nucleotides long. RefSeq lists it as uncharacterized. The record is from RefSeq and is a predicted model, not a curated record. NCBI's taxonomy places the organism in Eukaryota, Metazoa, Chordata, Actinopteri, Cypriniformes, Cyprinidae. The transcript has 2 exons.
GUUAUGAUAGUUUUAAUUUUAUGCUGGCUCUUGAAAAUGAUAAAGCUAUGAAACUUACUGUGCUUCCUUCAAAUGAUGACUUCUACGUAUAUAAAAAAUUAUGAAGAGUUGGAAUUAAAAAUUUUAAAGAUAUAGUAAAAUAACUAUUGUAUUUUUUUAUGUUACUUUAAUAAAUCUCUAUGGCCACACCAUUUAAGGUAUCCUAAACCCAUUCGCAAUUUAACAUCUUCAGUAUAUGGCUUCAUGUUAAAAAAGUUUGGUGUGAACUACUUGUGUCUUCUUGGAGGAGAAUGAAUUCAUUUACAGGCUGAGUUUAUCAUAAAUCCACAAUAACAUUUCUGAGUUCUGUAUCAAUCAGUGUUGUUGUUUGUUUAUUUUUAUUUUUUUUAUUUUUCAUAGGAAGAUAACUGACCCUUUACUCUCCUUUUUAAUAAAUGAGCUAUUUAUAGCUGUAUUUAUAAACUGCUUACUACUGACUAUUAA